This 396-nucleotide ribosomal RNA is filed under the name uncultured bacterium. RNAcentral's name for it is "partial 16S ribosomal RNA". It matches the Rfam family "Bacterial small subunit ribosomal RNA", at positions 523 to 918 of the family's 1533-position model. The record is from RNAcentral.
AUACGUAGGUGACAAGCGUUAUCCGGAUUUACUGGGCGUAAAGGGCGUGUAGGCGGUCUUGCAAGUCAGAAGUGAAAUUCCUGAGCUCAACUCGGGCGCUGCUUCUGAAACUGCAGGACUUGAGUGCUGGAGGGGAUAGCGGAAUUCCUAGUGGAGCGGUAAAAUGCGCAGAUAUUAGGAGGAACACCAGUGGCGAAGGCGGCCUGCUGGACGACAACUGACGCUGAGGCGCGAAAGCGUGGGGAGCAAACAGGAUUAGAUACCCUGGUAGUCCACGCUGUAAACGAUGAAUACUAGGUGUGGGGGGACUGACCCCCUCCGUGCCGCAGUUAACACAAUAAGUAUUCCACCUGGGGAGUACGAUCGCAAGAUUGAAACUCAAAUGAAUUGACGGGG